UACGGAGGGAGCUAGCGUUAUUCGGAAUUACUGGGCGUAAAGCGCGCGUAGGCGGUUAUUCAAGUCAGAGGUGAAAGCCCGGAGCUCAACUCCGGAACGGCCUUUGAAACUAGAUAACUUGAAUCAUGGAGAGGUUAGUGGAAUUCCGAGUGUAGAGGUGAAAUUCGUAGAUAUUCGGAAGAACACCAGUGGCGAAGGCGACUAACUGGACAUGUAUUGACGCUGAGGUGCGAAAGCGUGGGGAGCAAACAGG
This 253-nucleotide ribosomal RNA is filed under the name uncultured bacterium. Its description in RNAcentral is "partial 16S ribosomal RNA". It matches the Rfam family "Bacterial small subunit ribosomal RNA", at positions 524 to 776 of the family's 1533-position model. The record is from RNAcentral.